Long non-coding RNA from Anastrepha obliqua, 470 nucleotides. RefSeq lists it as uncharacterized. The transcript is spliced from 3 exons. NCBI's taxonomy places the organism in Eukaryota, Metazoa, Arthropoda, Insecta, Diptera, Tephritidae. The record is from RefSeq and is a predicted model, not a curated record.
UGUUGAAAACCAUUUAUUUAAUUGGGUAUUCGAUCGGUCAUUUGAAGCUGACUUUCUCCUACAGGCAGCACUCGUUUGUGAAUAUUCAUGCAUGUUGUUAGAACUGCAAAUACAAUCCCGGUCACCUUACAUAUAUCACAGUUAGUAAAUUAUGUUAGAAUAUUUGUAAAUAAAUUGUAUUUAAAAUGGCGUAAGUGCAGCGGGAGGUGUGUUGAAGAGCUAAGUGGUACAACUGUAGUGCUUUUUAGAAACGAAGGCAAGAUGCGUGUGUUGCUACCAUUGUCAACAAUAACGGAGGGCACCAAACACUCUAGGGUAGAUACUAGGUUGAAGCAACAAAAUGCAAUUGCAGACAAAUAUUGAAAAGGCUUUGUACAACGUAUCAGUAAAAACUUAACAGAAGUGAACGAAUCUGUAAAAAGAUGAGGAAGAAACUUUAUAAAACAAAUUAUAUAAAACGCACAACUACU